UUAUUUUUUCAAUUGUUAAAACUCUUUUUGUCUCCUCUCGUGUUUACGUUUAAGUUCUAGACUUUCUGUUUUGCCCUAACGUUCUUUUCUUCUUCACUUCUUCACUGCCUCAAUUCAAACAAACCCUAACGUUACAUUCGUCUCUCUCCGGCAACUGGCACCCCCUUCGCCGGCAACCGGCACCCCUUCUCCGGCAACCGGCGCUCCUCCUCCUCCUCCUCUGUUCUUCUUCAGUGAUUCAAUUUGGGGGAAAAGCAGAUUCAGCUUCAGAGAUUGAGAAAGUGUUGAUUUUUAUGAGGGAAAAAUGAAAAUCACUGUGUUCCAGAGAAGAAUUCAACUUCCUGAAAUAGUGGAACAAAAAUUGGCGAAAUAUUCUCUUACCCUUUUGACUUGACUAUUUAGUUAGUUCAAUUAAUGUUUGUUACAUAGAAACUUGAACUUGUUUGGUUAUUUCUGGUUUUUCAACACCAACUUUUUUCUCACUGAUGCAAUCUUAGUAUCUUGUUCUAAAUUAGUUCCUCGUCUGUUAAAAAUUUGUACCUUUUUGCAUAAACAUGGGAGAUGUUAGGCUUAAUAGGGUAGAUCAGGGACAAACAAAGAUUAAGAAUGUUCCAAUAGCUGUUACCCCUGAAGGGUUUUGGUGUUGUCCCUCACCUGUUGUGUUUCAGAAAAGUCAUAAGCCUCAAAAUCCUUUGAAUAAGACCAAACCUUCUUCUUCGACACCGCAACCACAACCGAAAGCCAGUGUUCAGAAAAAGCCGGUGGCAGUGCAAGUGACGGAGAGAAGAGGUUCUACACCUGCACCGGCACCUGCAUCGUCUAGAUUGGUGAUUUCAGAUGAUCAAAAUUGUGGUGUUGGUUCGGAAAGGUCAUCCGCUGGUACUUCUUUGGCUGCGGAGAGAUUAUCUUCUAGACCAAAAAUCGAAACCAUGCUAAGAAAGGUAGCUAUUGAGUUUGGUGAGCCGGGAACUUGUGAUAUGAAGGUGGUUUUAUUAGGGAAACAAGGUUUUUCUGUUAAGUUGAGUGUGCAUAGGGAUGUUCUGAUAGAGAAGAGUAGUUUCUUUUCUGAAAAGAUUUCCAAACAAUCGGAUUGGUCUUGUUUACAAAUUGGAGAUUGUGAGGAUGUUGAAAUAUAUGUUGAAGCCGUUGGUUUGAUGUACUGCAAGGAAAUGAAACAGCGGCUCAUGAAACAGAAUGUUUCUCGCAUUCUCCGAAUUCUUAAGUGGAGCAUGUGAUUUUGGACGGAGGGGUAAAAAAAUGGUUCCUCACGAUGAUGUCUCGUGAACGUGUGAACUGUGAAGCAACCAACAGAGCUGAGACACAGGAGACAGAGGAGGGGUUGAACCUCUAAACCCCUAUUACACACUCAAACAUUUAGUACUAGGGUUUUAAGAGAGUUGGCUGAAGACCUCGUCAGGAAUCAGAUUCUCCUAUGUCUACCUCAACUUUGACAGACAGAGGUCUAGAGUGAGUUCGGAUAGAGGACUCUUUUAAACUAAACCGGUGGGGGUUGCAUAUGUAGGAAGGCUCAAGCUUUCGAACUGCGUAACAAAAGCGACUCCUUGUUGGUGUAAGAUAGGUGAUGAUCUGAUUCACCAAUGUAUGUUAUAACCUGAUGGAUCAUGCGUGUGGAGAAUAUCUCUCGUGACUCUGGAUUUCCUUACCUUUUGAGGGUUCAACUCGGUGAGUGCCUCAACAAUUCUUCAUCCUGACUAUCCCGAACAAUGUCCCAAUCUUCUUGAUUGGAUCAAGCAUAAUUUACAGGAUCAACAAGUUUACUCUGUCUUAUUCGUUCCGCAUUCUUUCUAUUAAACAGCGCCUCUGUUUGUGUUGCACUUCUCACUGAUUUAUUUUAUCUGAUUUAAUUUUUGCCAUGUCUGCAUGUCUCUUUAUUUUCCCAGGUUCAAAUCAAAUGAUGAGAGGACUCCCGGCUUAUCACAUUAUCGACUAGACAUUUCCUUAUCUUGGCAAUAUAUUCAACAGCCUUGUCCAGAUUGCUAAUCCACCCAUUGAAGUUGCAGAUCUCAUCAAGCUUAUCCGUAUGAUAUUCUGGUCCUUCGUAUAUGUAAGUUUUUUUCCCUCACACCAUCCAAUGGCCGCAGUUGCAUUUGUUAUUUAUAACCUGUUUUUCUAUUUGAAAUGGGAGCUGAUACUGUAGAUGGGGAUGAAGCUGCUAGUAGUAAUUUUAGAAGGUUGGCUGAUCAGGUCUGUGGAUAUAAUUCUGAAGACCCAAAGAACAUUUGUUAGACUUUUUAGGAAUGGAACUUCUUGUUAUUCUCUAUCGGAAAACAAAAUAUAAAUUGUGCAUUUUUAUUUGAACAUUAUAUCCUUUUGUAAUUUAUUAUUUGUUUUCAUUUAAUGACUUUUUUUUUAUCUUAAAUUCUUAUUUUCAUUUUGCAUUCCGGACCAAUGAUGAUGAUGAUAUGAUGACUCAGAUGAUGACGAAGAUUUGAAGUUCUCAAUUGAUGAGUUGGAUUUUUUUAUUUUUUUGUGGAUACAACAAAAGAAAAUGAGGAUUUUGAAGCUGCCACAGCUGAAGGAGGGAAUGGAAUUAAUGUUGCCACUAUUGAAGGAGGGAAUGAAAUUGAAUUUGCCACUACUAUAAAUGAAUUGGAGAUUCAUAACCUUGAUGAUGAGUUUGAUGGAGAAGAAGAUUCUCGCCUUGAUGAUCAGAAUGCCUUGAAAGAUUAGUUAAGUGAUAUAUUUUAGAUGAUAUUUGAGUUAAGAUGAUGUAGUUUGGAAUGUGUUUGAAACAAUUAUAUUUUGAGUUGCUGUUAUGAAUAUUAUGAUUGAGGAAAUUAUGUUUUUUUUAAUUGAAUAUUUGCUAUUAUGAUUAAGUUAAUGAGAAUUUUAUGUUACGAUCCGAAUUAAGAUCCUAUGAUUUACGCUUUCUUUAAUUUUGUCUAUUUGUUGGGAUCUAACGAUCCGAGUUAUACGAUCCUACGAGCUUUUUCCAUACCCUAACGAUCUUUACCUGGCUUCUCACGACUCUCUGAUGCGGUUCUUCCUCGCGUCAUCAGAUGCGUUCAUUUGCAUCGGGUAUGGGAUGAAAUUCAUAAGCAUAUUUUUGCUCACAGAUGCAAAAUCGAUACAGUUGUGAUCUGAAUUGAAGUCGACCGCAAAAUGUGAUCAAUCUAUCACUGAGUAUCUUGUGUGAAUUCAAUGAAUUGUUGACGUUCUUGAAUCGAUCGAAGAUUCAAUUUCACAUUGUGAUCGGUUGGAACAGAUUCUAGAUGGAUUACCAGAUGAAUUUGGUGCCAUAGGUUCGAUUAUUCAGGAUCACCCAUCUUGUGCCUUAUUAUUGAAGCAGUCAAUGUUGCUAUCUCACAAGGCAAAAUUGGAUUGUGCGAAGAAAUCGGUUAUGAAUGAACCUUUUUUCCAUCAAUGUAGCUCACACCUCAAAUCCUGUGCAGAAUUUGCCAAUACAGCCCGCUCUUGUAGACCAGUCCAUGUCAGUCGAUUGAUUCUACCACUAAAUUGAGUGGAAAUCGUGCAUUUAGAGUAGGUAGAAGCUUUGGUCGUGGCAGAGAAGGCUGGUUUGGAGGUAGUUCUAGAGUUCAGUGUCAAAUGUGCUCUAAGCUUGGGCGUGAAGCUAGUGUGUGCUAUCAUAGGCAUUCAUCUAUGAUGCCUUUUCAGAGUCAGUGGCAAUAUUCAUCUCCAAGUCAUUGGCAGCGUGCACCUUAAAAUCACCGCCUCAGCCUGUGGUGAACUACAGUCAGUGGCUGUCAUCAGCUACACGUGGUCCUCCACCUAGUUCUCCUCAUAGAUCAGGAGUUCAACCUCAAGCCUUCUUUACGGGGACAAGUAGUAUUGAAUGUAAAGUUAGAAUAGAUAACUAUUUCAUAUCUACUGUAAUUAAUAAGACUGACAAUUGUCAGGAUAGGAAAGCUCUCACCUCUUACCUGCUAUAUAGCAGGCUUCCAUUGGUUGCUUUAUAUUAUAUAAGGCAACAAGCGUCAGUUUACAACUAACUUUCAAUAUCAAUGAAAUUCUGUUAUAACAGAAAUGAAAACCUCUACUCUACAAUCUAAUAUGGUAUCAGAUUGCUGAGUUGAUCCAUGGCAGGUAUUACUCCACUGGUCUCGCCUCCUUCCUCCGCUCGUGUUUCCCCUGCUCCUGUGCCAGAGUUAAACCCGUAUGAUUCACGCCGAUUACACUUUAAGCUCAUGAUCGCGCAAAAGUUGGAUGAAAACAACUUUCAUCUAUGGCGUCAGCAGGUGGAACCGUAUAUCAACGCUCAUGAUCUCACUGAUCUUGCUGUUAUAAGUUUACUAUCACUAUCAACAUUUUCGUGGUGGUAGAUUUGGUAGAGGUCGUGGUGGCAGGUCCUCAACCUCCAAUAUUCAAUGCCAAGUGUGUUAUAAGACUGGUCAUUCUGCUCUUAACUGUUGGCAUAAGUUUAACUAUCACUUUUAACCUGUGGCUAGUGGAAGCAGUUACAUGCAGCAUCAGUGGCAUGGUGCUCCUUCCCAAGCCUCUCCUAAUGUGUGGUCAAGACCUCUCACUUCAUCAGCAUUUGCUCCAUCCAUCACAAAUUCUCCCAGUACUUUUGUUGCAAACUCCUUAUCUUCAACCUCAGGAUUAUUUAGUAUUGCCUAUCCCUGUGCCCUAUUAUUGAAGCAGAGUCAACGUUGCUAUUUCACGAGGCGAAAUUGGAUCGUGUGAAAUUGGAUCUCAAUGAACCUCUUUCCAUCAAUGUAGCUCAUGCCUCAAAUCCUGUGCAGAACUCGCCAAUACAGCCUGUUCCUGUAGACCAGUCUAUGUCGUCUGUUGAUUCUACCUCUUAAUUAAGUGGAAACCGUGCAUUUAGAGGAGGUAGAAGCUUUGGUCGUGGCAGAGGAGGCAGGUUUGGAGGUCGUUCUAGAGUUCAGUGUCAAAUAUGCUCUAAGCCUGGGAAAUGAAGCUAGAAUGUGCUAUCAUAGGCAUUCAUCUAUUAUGCCUUUUCAGAAUCAAUGGCAAUAUCCCUCUCCAAAUCAUUGGCAGCGUGCACCUUAACCUUACUAGAACUAAUGGUCUCAAUCAUCACCUCAGCCUGUGAACUACAGUCGGUGGCUGUCAUCAGCUACAUGUGGUCCUCCACCUGGUUUUCCUCCUAUAUCAGGAGUUCAACCUCAAGCCUUGUUUAUGGGGACAAGUAGUAUUGAAUGUAAAGUUAGAAUAGGUAACUAUUUCAUAUCUACUGUAAUUACUAAGAUUGACAACUGUAUGUACAGGAAUAGCAGGUUUCCCUAUGUUGCUUUAUAUAAGGCAACAAGGGUCAGUUUGCAACUAACUUUCAAUAUCAAUGAAAUUCUGUUAUAACAGAAAUGAAAACCUCUAUUCUACAGUCUAUAAUAUGGUAUCAGAUUGCUGAAUCGAUCCAUGGCAGAUAUUACUCCACCAGUCUCGCCUCCUUCCUUCGCACAUGUUUCCCCUGCUCCGGUGCCAGAGUUAAAGCCGGAUGAUUCACUCUGAUUACACUUUUCGCUCAAAAUCACGCAAAAGUAGGUUGAAAAGAACUUUCAUGUAUGGCGUCAGCAGGUGUACCUUCACCUAACUUGAACCAUUGGUCUCAAUCAUCACCUCUGCCUGUGGUGAACUACAAUCAGUGGCUGUCAUCAGGUACACGUGGUCCUCCAUCUGGUUUUCCUCCUAGAUCAGGAGUUCAACCUCAAGCCUUCCUUACAGGGACAAGUCAGAGUUGGUAUCCAGAUUCAGGUGCCACUCACCAUGUAACCAACAAUACUUGACUAUUUGUCUCAGUAUUUCUCUUCCUGGAACAGAUCAAGUCUUCCUUGGCAAUGGGCAAGGUUUGCGAAUUUUUUCUAUUGGAUUUACACAGUUUAUCUCUCCCUACAAAUCACACACUACACUAGCUCUUAAAAUUUACUGUUAGGGCCCUAUAUUACUAAGAAUUUGAUCUCAGGAAGUUUGCUCGAGACAAUGCAGUGUACUUUGAGCUUCAUGCUGAUUAGUGUCUGGUUAAAUCUCAGGCUUCUUCUGAGGUAGUGCUUCAAGGGACAGUGAACAAGGAUGGCCUAGGACCCUCAUUAUAUACUAUGUGGCACAGGCAUCCUCGUCAUGAGGUUCUCAAAGCAUAUUUUACAGUUGCACAAUGUUAAUGUGCCUCACAAGUCUCCAUUGGGUUUUUGUAGCCCAUGUUGUUUGUGUAAAGUGCAUAGGUUACCUAGUAGUGCCUCCACUGCUGUCUACUCAUACCCUUUUGAAUUGUUAUUUGCUGAUGUUUGGGGACCUGCCCCCAAUGCUUUCUAUUGCUGGAUUUAAAUACUUGUUAACUUGUGUUGAUGCAUGCACCAAGUUUACUUGGGUAUUUCUCUUUAAAUUGAUAUUAUAUGUCGUACUCACUUUCACACACUUUCUCACUGCAGUAGAAGUUGAGUUUAAUAUAAAAGUGAAAUCAGCUCAAAAUGAUGGAGGGGGUGAAUUUACAGCUCUAACUUCUGUAUUUAAUUCCAAAGGAAUUGCACACAGACUUGCUUGUCCACACACACACCAUCAUAAUGGCUCAGUUGAGCGCAAGGAUAGGCAUGUUAUUGAGACUGGUCCACACACACACCUUCAAUAUGUGGUUACCGAAGUUGUAGUGGAAAAACAUGACUAUAAGGUCUUGGAGGGUUUAGUUUUUUACAUAUGUAUCUGAUACGAAUUGUAUUCUAGAAUUUUCAGUGACUAGUUUAUGCGUAUCCGAUAUGUAUCUAUCCGAUAUCCGUAUAUAUCCGUAUCAUGUCCGUGCUUCAUUGUUUUUAGCUCUAAUUUCAAAAAAUACAAGUUCAUAAUUUUUGUUUGAAUACCAACCAAUCUUCAUAGGUAGUAUGUACCAAAUUAUCGAAAUUUUUUGUAUCAAGGCUGAAGAGGGUGUUUUUAAAGGUAAUAUGUAGCGUCAUUCAUCUUUCACGGUUAAUAGACAAAUUUUGAUGUGUUUUGGUGGUAAAUGAGUUGGUAGAUUUGACUGAAAAUAGAAAAUAUAUUUGACUUUUAUUAUAGGUUAUGUUAAUAAAAAAACAUGAUUCUGUUAGUAGAUUUGACUGAAAAUAGAAAAUAUAUUUGACUUUUAUUAUAGGUUAUGUUAAUAAAAAAACAUGAUUCUGUUAGUAGGGAUAUAUAUAGAUAGAUAGGUAGACUUCUGCGACCUUUGAGUCGGCGAUACAAAUAUCGUCGCCAAGGAUAGCAUACUUAUCAAAGCGCUUCCACGGAUAUAUCUUCUCCGCACACCACCAAAUGGUGGGACAGUGUAAAGAGCGGCCAAGAAGCGAGAUAUCCAACCAAGAGGUUGCCCUGAUCCUUGGGCUGAUAGUCAAGUAAUUUGCUCUUGAAUGACAGGUCUACUCUCGGAUACAAAGGUUCUAUGUUCAAGCAAUUGGGCCAACUUUCAUUGGAUUCUUCCAAAGUAGGUGAAGGUCUUUGGCUCUUUUUGGUAAGUCUUCUCGGAGUAAGAACCUUUCUUUUUGAGCUGGCGCGGAGACCUAUGGUCUCCAUUCCGCCUUAUCUUUGCUCUAUGUCGGUGUGAAGUUGCUAGCAUAAUAUGGUAAGCAGCGGGCUUUCUAUCCUCAGAGGUUCCGGUCACGCUAAAGUUACUAUAUAUAUAUAUUAU
Molecule: RNA transcript, 7591 nt
Organism: Lathyrus oleraceus (garden pea)
Lineage: Eukaryota; Viridiplantae; Streptophyta; Magnoliopsida; Fabales; Fabaceae
Gene name: ribonuclease S-4
Exons: 6
Source: RefSeq, a predicted model, not a curated record